GGCGGGGUUCCCGAGCGGCCAAAGGGAGCAGACUGUAAAUCUGCCGUCAUCGACUUCGAAGGUUCGAAUCCUUCCCCCGCCA
Molecule: transfer RNA, 82 nt
Organism: Buttiauxella agrestis ATCC 33320
Lineage: Bacteria; Pseudomonadati; Pseudomonadota; Gammaproteobacteria; Enterobacterales; Enterobacteriaceae
Rfam family: tRNA
About the family: Transfer RNA (tRNA) molecules are approximately 80 nucleotides in length. Their secondary structure includes four short double-helical elements and three loops (D, anti-codon, and T loops). Further hydrogen bonds mediate the characteristic L-shaped molecular structure. tRNAs have two regions of fundamental functional importance: the anti-codon, which is responsible for specific mRNA codon recognition, and the 3' end, to which the tRNAs corresponding amino acid is attached (by aminoacyl-tRNA synthetases). tRNAs cope with the degeneracy of the genetic code in two manners: having more than one tRNA (with a specific anti-codon) for a particular amino acid; and 'wobble' base-pairing, i.e. permitting non-standard base-pairing at the 3rd anti-codon position.
Source: Rfam